CUACGCUGCAGCUAGCAUAACCUGUUGUGAAUGCUAAGGCUACUUAGCAUGACCAGCGCUGAUGGCAGAUUUUCCUUUGGUCUCUGCAGGAGCUCUGCUGUGUGCUCUCUCAAUUCUGGCUGAAGGUCUAAGGCCAGACAACGCUCUGGAAACAUCGCUGGGCCGCCAUGAAAAAUCAACACAGGAGGAAGCAGGUGAAGAGUGUGACAGCUGAGCUGCAGGAAAAGAUUGCUGUGUUGUUGACAGCGGGGAAAAAGUUUACCUGGGACCGGAAGAAAACAACGGCAAACCAGAAAGUCAGGACGAGCGAGCGACAAACAAAACAAAACAAAUAAAAACAUGGCAGUCUGAAAAAUUUCAUCCAAAAUGAUUUUGUGGGCUGCAAAAGUAUUCACUUUAACACAUAUUUAUCAGUUUCUUUUAACUGUGCACGAAAACACCAUCAGCUUCUGGGGACAAUGACACAAAAUAUGUCUAACUGCACCUGUUAGAAUGUUUUCUCUCACUUUUAUUUAUCAUUCAGUCAUUAUUACAUGUAUUUAGCAUAAAUGCUGCC
Long non-coding RNA from Gambusia affinis (western mosquitofish), 556 nucleotides. RefSeq lists it as uncharacterized. The record is from RefSeq and is a predicted model, not a curated record. The transcript has 3 exons. NCBI's taxonomy places the organism in Eukaryota, Metazoa, Chordata, Actinopteri, Cyprinodontiformes, Poeciliidae.